AUGUCCUCUUUCCCCUCCUGUGCGCCUCCACCUCGCUUUUCCUUCUCCCCCGCGUCGCCAUCGCCUCCCUCCGCCGCUUCGCCACCAACCGCUGCUGCAGCCUUCCCUCCGCCGGCCUCGGCCUCCCUCGGACCUGACCACCCCGUUGCCGGCCUCGCUCCUCCUCGCCCUGCGUGCCCGCCGCCGCCGCCGGCAGCAGCAGCUGCUGCUGCACACUCUCGCCGACGCCGCGAACCAUCUAAGCUCGCGCCCCCUCGUCGGCCUCCUCGAGCACCGGCCGCGCCGCGCGCCCAACCUUCCUCCAUCGCCGUCUCUCCUGCUCUGCUCCUGCCCCGCCGGUCGCCUCUGCCUCGACCCCGCGCCCGGCCUUCCGCGACCACGCCUCUCCGUCACCGCUCCGUGCACCCCGGCCAUCCUCCUGCGCCAAGUCCCGCCUGCCGGAGUCCCUGCGUCGCCCGCCGUCGUCCUUCGCCGUCGCGUCGGGCUCCUGGACCUCCGCUGCGAGCCCCAUCGCCGCCUGUUCUGGCCGUCCCUGCUUCGGACCCCGACGAGCUGGCUGCCCAGUUGGUCUUGCUGCCUUUGUCGUGGCCAGGUCAAGUCAGACACCCGGAGACCAUCGUUGAUUUUCGCCAAGUACCGGGACGUCAGGACCCGUCAAGUUCAUCUUCGAACCGUCUACGACUACGCGGACUCGCCAAGUACCACUCCGAACCAUGUACGACGACCGUCACCGAAGAACCGUGUAACGUGAACGCGAACGUCUACUUCCACGACCGUCGCGAGAACGUCUACUUCCGCUACGGCCGAGUACAACUACUUCCGACGACGUCCCGUGAACAACUACUUCCUCUACGAAACUCGAACCGCUCCGAAAACGCACGCUUCGAAGGUAUAACCCCGAGAUGA
This 906-nucleotide ribosomal RNA is filed under the name Triticum aestivum (bread wheat). RNAcentral's name for it is "partial small subunit ribosomal RNA". The record is from RNAcentral. Lineage: Eukaryota; Viridiplantae; Streptophyta; Magnoliopsida; Poales; Poaceae.